GUUCUUUUUACUGAUAGUGUAUAUAGUAGUGUAAAUAAUCUUUCCAUUUAUUAUUUCUUUCCUAUUUUUCUUGAAUAGAAAAAUUGGAAAGAUUUUUAUUUUUAUUUUAUAACUGAGGUGAUAAGAUUCAAGAUAUUCUGUUGCCCUAGAUGAGUUCAUACCUCAGAGAAAGACGAUCAAGGUAGGUCUCACGAUCGAUGGGAAACCAUUUGGGGAACUGAUCAAGGAUCCAUGAGAAGGCGAACCAGAUCUCACAUAUAACAGAAGUCAACCAGAGCCCAAAGGCGUCGUGCACGGGGUUCAAUAGUCUAUAACGUAGGAAGAAAGCCAGAAUCACCAGCCUAGCCACAAUUACCAUACGGCUCGGAUACUGGAUAGGGAUGCACCCGUUUAUGCAGAGAGGAUCCCAUCUGCUCUCCAUAAGCAUGAUUGGACAUCGGGAUUUCACCGCUGACCUGCAUCCAUGGAACAAAGUUCACAAGAAAUGAAUUUCACCUUGGAUGAGAGCGGACCCCAGCUAUAACAGGCGGGUACUGGGCAUUAUCAUCAUCUUCAGGCAUGGUUACCUCUUCAUGGCCAUGGAUGACGACGAGCUCGUUCCUGUUGUGAGAACCAGCUACAAGUCCAGCGCUGGCUUCCAUUGAUGGAGAAGGUAGUGUGUGUACUGUGUAUAGUGAGAAAAGAGGCUGGUCAAGCAAUGGUGUGGUAAGGGAUUCUUUUUAAGGAAUGUUAAAAAGGGUAGAAUUACUAUCAUUUUCUUGACCACCUAAUAUAGGCAGAUGUUGGUUGCAGAGUCUCCAUUGCCUUCAAGUUAAGCUUCUUCUGUUCCAACCACCUUUAAGCAUCCUCUUCUGUGGCCUUUUUUUCAAAGACCAACUUUACCAUUUAUUUUUUUAGGAAUUAAUAUUGUCUUCUAUUCAUUAUUUUUGAAGUGCCCUUUUAAUAAAUUAAUAAUUAAACAUAAAUGAUUAUCUUGAGAUUAUGUCACUUUAUUAGAAAUGAUUACUGGUAAGAAAUUCAAGUAAAUUGUCUUAAUUUUGGGUAUAUGGUCUUCUUCUGAGUAUUAGUCAUAUGUAUCCAACGGAAUUUGAAAUCAGUCAUACAUAAAAGUUCUUUUAAA
This is a long non-coding RNA of Olea europaea var. sylvestris, 1120 nucleotides long. RefSeq lists it as uncharacterized. The transcript is spliced from 4 exons. The record is from RefSeq and is a predicted model, not a curated record. Lineage: Eukaryota; Viridiplantae; Streptophyta; Magnoliopsida; Lamiales; Oleaceae.